CCUCUUAACUUCAAGGCUUUGUCAAGAUGCAAUUGAAAAGCUUUUUGGCAUAAUACGCCAAUUUAAUGGCUGCAAUGAUCACCCGACAUCGGCCCAGUUCCUCACUGCAGUGAACUGCCUUAGCUUUUAUAAUCUGGUAAAAGCUCCAUGUACUGGGAAUUGUGCAGGCGGAACGCCCGAGGCUCUAGUUGGGACAGCUUAAUUAGCAAGCCACAUCGACACCCUGCUGGACUCUGGUAAACUGGAUGAAGCGUCUAGCAUUAUCCAGACCUCUCCCACCACAUUAGCGUUCGAUCGAUCACAUAUAUCCAGAGCAAACAAGCGACGCCAGACUGGUGUACUACCUGGCAGGAUAUGUUGCACGACGAAAGGUCCUCGCAACAAAAUGCCGAGAUUGCUUCGUUCUUACACCACAAGAGAACGCAGAAAAGCAACUUUCAUCCGACCAGGCGGCCUGCUGUAUCCGACAAGUGAGCUGUUUGCUUUUGUUGAAGCACUGGAGGACUCUUUCACCAUUUGUUUUAGCUGGAAUAAGUUGCACAAAGAUAGCAUCACAGAGAUUAUGCAGCACAUGCAACAAAUGCCACACGUUGGCUGUGUUGCCCAUAAGGAAGCACUGACAAGCAGUAUUGUAAGGUUUUUCAUCAUGACACGUCUUCACUUCUACACAAGGUCUCUGAACAAAGACUGCACUUCCACAAGAAGAAAAAACAUUUGAAACUGAGCAGAACAACUUGAGGGCCAUGUGAAAAUGCGCUUUCAGCUAUGUCUUGUUGAAUUUUCUACCUGAAGCUAAUGUGACAUUUAGAAAACCUCUAAUUACCAUGAAUUUUGUUAUCAGGUGAAUGAUUUAUUGUUCAGUGUAAAAGCAAUAAACAGUUCCAUCAGGAAUGUACAGUAGGGACCACAUGUUUUCCACUUUUAUUUGCAUGAAACUAAUCACAUUAUUUGGACGAAUCCAGCACAAUACUAAUUUUACAAUUAAAUAAUGAUCGGCGCUCAGAGAAACGUCUAGUUAUAAUUUCAUACGCGUUGGACAUCCACUUUAAUUCAAGCCAUUUCUUCAAUGAGAAUCAAUUAUCACGAAUGAGACUACUGCAUUCAUGCUGUGAAAAAUUUUUGUGCAUAGAACUAGUGUAAACGACAAGUAGAUUCUUAUGGCAAAAAGUGCGAGUGCGCGAAAGAUCCCAUUCACGCCCAUAGCACGCGAUGGUUGCAUGUGGCAGUCUUCUGAGCGGCAACGUUGAAUCGCGAUAGAGCGUCACCGUGUAGCGCAUCGCUACUGUGCUCGGGCAGUAACAAAAGCGCAACUAUCGUGGCAGCAGUGAGCAAGUUUUAUCGAACGAAAACUGAUGAAAGGCGGAGAUAUACUAAUGUAUGGUCACUGCCAUUGUAGCAUGCAAGUGAACGCAUUGCAGUCCGGAUAUACUAAUUUAUGAAACCGAAAGAAUCACUGCAAAUUCGCGUUUAUAGCGAGAAAUGCGUAGCACGCCCGUAGGAAGCGACGUGUAAGCAACCGCCAGCGCCGCCUCGCGGUUGCAUCGCGGAAGCACACGCGAGCGGCCGCGCCUUCGGCCAACGCCUCCUAUUUCAGCCACUGUACUGAAAGCGAGUGUCGUCAAAUUCCUUUUUUAUUCUUAUGGUGUUGUGCUUGUGUGACGGGCGUCAGGUUAGUGUUGCAUUGCCAUUCUGCUGUUAAGCAACUGUUCAAGGGCCUACGGUUUCGUCCAUCCGGAAUCUCGGAGGAGGCCACGCCGGUGCAUUGAGCGUCGCUAUGGCUGUCGUCUGGCGCCUUCUGCUCCUCAAAAAUAAGCUGCGCCUUCUGAAAUUGCGCGACCUUGUGAAGAAGAAGCUAUAGGUCCACCUUGUAUGGCAACCAAGGAGGAAACAAGGAGAAUACCACGCUGCGGCGUGACGCUCAUCUCGCCCUUUGUGGGGCCCAUCCUGGAUUGGCAUGUGGCCAGCACCAACCAGAAGAGCUUUGAGCCUCUGUAGGACCCAGGUGUGAAGAGCGUGACGCGCAUUUACGAAUACUACAGGUGUCACGGCUAUGCGACCGUCGUCAUGGGGGCAUCGUUCCGCAAUGUGGGACAGGUGCGCGCCCUGGCCGGCUGCGACCUGCUCACCAUCAGAGCCCCGGCAGGCAGGGAGGAGCAGAAGGGCAGAAACAAGAGUGGACGACCUGCUGUCCUCUGUCGCUGGCCACUAUGCGGAGCGUGAAGCACAUUAACGAAUACUACAAGUGUCACGGCUAUGCGUUGCUGUGACACUUGUAUGUUGACACGAGUCUGUUGCACUCGCGCAAGUGCACAACAACCAAACACAGGACCUCCUCCAAUCAGUUGAGCGGCUAAGAACGGUGGGUGAAAAUCAAGGCGUGGCGACGUUGCCCCAAGCAGCAGCCAGCGAGCGUCUCACUUCUGCUGCUGAACAGCAAGUGCAACAAAACACCCAGCUGCUGCAGGAUCUGCGGAGCCUCACACACAUGGCACCAGCGCUGCUGCUUUGCCUUCAGCAGGCCGUGGGGAUGCCACCACAAGCCCCAGCAGGUGGACCACCUUCUUAUGAGGAAGCUUUAGCUCGACACUAAUAAUCGAGCCAAGAGACGUACCUUACAAUGCACAAAUGCUUUUGAUUAUAUUUGAUGGAAACUUUUCAUCUUUUGACAAUAUGAUGAUGAAUAUUUAAUUAUGGUGUGGAUUUAAUUGCAGAACGUUGGUUAGUUGUCUAAUAAUUGAAGCACAACAUUUACAAAUUCAUACCUCUAUUCAGAAAACAGAUAUUGCACUUCUGUAAACUGUAUGUUAGAAUCUUGUAUGUGGAUUAAUUCAAUGUGCGAAUUUAUAGCUCACAUGAAACUGUGACAAUGUUGAAAACGUUUCACCAACGUCCCACUCAAUAAUGAAGUGGAUUAUGUGAAAGUGAUGUGUAUGAGAAUUCUUUUUGUUGAGCUGUAUUACAUACACUUAUUGAAAAAUUACUCAUAAUUUAUAUUGCAGAAUUACAAAGUUGUAAACAAUAUGGGUUAGCUUGAUAAAAUUUGGAAAUCUGCAACAUUUGUCAGUUAACAAUUCAAUCGCCUAAAAAAUGUUGAGCUUCCUGUUGCCACUUGGUUUUAAUGUUUUCAUUUAAAUGUAACAAGUCACAACCAGUGCAAUAGUGUAGAUUAAUAAUUUCUCCAUUACCGUGUAUGUACAUAUCACCUCUCGGCACUAAAGCUUCCACUUUCCAAGGGAUGUGGUUCCUUUGUUGUGAUACGUGUUUUGUGAUUUGGGCGUGUAAAGCCCAGUUUCCUUGAUUGUUACCAUUAUUUAUGCUUUUCAUUUUUGCUGGUUUUGCAUCUGUGAACAGUAAAAUUUUUCAUUGUCAUGAUUUUGUUUAUGUUGUGUUAUAGCGUACUUGCACCUUGUUAAGCAGCAAUUAUGAGCAUUACGUGAAAUCAUGGGUGCAAGAAAUGCAAUGUUGAAGCAUCUCUUGAGUUUAAACAAAGCAGCAGUAAGCAUGAGUGUCUGUUAUUUAAAGAAAUCCUCCUCCAAAAAUGCUUGACAUGUCUUGUUUGUUGCUAUGUGUUUCAAGAAAUAUGUACUACACAGAUUGCACUGAAGGACGUUUCAGUUGUGUGUAACUCAUGCUGCGCUUGCGUGCGACACAUGAACAGACGUCUUCAGCUUUGGAACAAUGCAUACUUUACGGUAAAAUAGGCAUCGCAAAGCAGUAUUCAACAAUGCAAGAUUAGUUGCCGUUCACCUUAGAAAUCACCUUUAUUUCAAGAAAAUUCCCCGGCGAGACAAUUUUCAAAAGCACAGACAAUUUUCAAAAGCAAAGAAAAGGAGUAAUAUAAUGGCACAUGGUUAUUUGUCACUGCAUGUGUAUCUGUCAUGGUCACCGUAGACAAAUCAUGUGCUUUCCACUACUGCAGUAUGCAGCGUACUAUGAUUAGCCACAUCUGAGCACAAGCAAUGUGUUAUGUUAAAGUGCACAGCCUAUUUACUUUGAUGAAAAUAAACAUAAAACAUGUUACACCUGCACAUGUUUCCUCGUCAUCUGUGGCGAAUGCGCCAGCGCACAUUUUGCAGGUAGGCAACGCGCAAAUUUCUGGGCAGCCAAAACACACCAACUAUGGAUUCGCGCACAACCUCUUUGAAACAAAGCUCGAGAAGGCUGUACAGGAUGCGCCUGCGGUGGCACCUGUGCUUGAAGCGGCACUUGUGUUUGGGCUGGCUCCUGUUCGCUGUCGCCAUGUGCACCAUCGUCAUCUGGGUCGUCUGGCAGAGGCACGCCUGUUGCAAGGCAGAGGCUAUGAAGCGCUGCACAAGCUGCAACAAUAAUGGCUGCUUUCCGAGGCGAGUAGUGGAGCGCCCGAUACCUCUGCAGGCAUUGGAAGCGGCUCUUGACGACUCCUAUGCACUGGGACUCGCUCCGCGACAGCCGACCAGAGCAGACGUGUUGCGGAUGGGCUCCUGCCUCACCCCAAUAACCUGCGAGUCGUCCCUCUGUAUCGACGACAAUUGCUACUGCGCCUCUGGCAGCCUUGGUCACAUCCCGCUGAACGGCCCGACGGGCUCGCCACCGCCUGUACUCCCACGCUUUUUGGCCCGCCACUCCCGAGCCGAGCCGCUAAACCGGUUUCCAAUCGGACUCUGCCGCGCCAGGCUCUCAACUGUAAAACCGCCACCCCGACUGCUGAAAUGGCCCCCAGAGAUUCGCCCGAUGGUCUGGGCCCUUCCAACGGCCACCAUCCAUGGUCAACCUUCAUGACGAAGACUCUGAUAUGGACUCUUGUGAUUACUUCACACAAGACCAAGGCCUCCCGACAUCGUUGUCCGAUUCGGCUGCGAGCUUCCCUACCCAUGGUCCCACGUGGGAGUACACUCUCAGCAAGCAUCGGGCGAAGCAGCUCCAGGCAGGGCCACCCAUGAAACCCAGACCACCUCAUCAUCGGAAUCAGCCAUAUCCGUGAGUGGCACUCCGUCCAAUUGCAACUUCCUGUCCCCAGGCAUAACCCGAAAGCCCGGUCCUCGUCGCCCCAGACUAACACCCCUACCAAAGGGAGAUCUGAAAGUAGUCAUCCGGCUGACGAGAGGCAUAGCCCUCAAGAAAUACCCCAACCACGCUAUCGCGGCAGCAAUUGUCAAGUCCUGCCAGAACCCCACCCGUGCGGAGGGGAAAUACGUCGUGCGCCCCCACAUGGGCUCCAAUAUCCUGAUAGUCAGCACCCCGCACGAGGAGGCCGCUGACAAGAUCUGCCAACUCGCCCACCUUAAGCUGGACAACCAAGCCCACCCGGUGAGAGCAUGCGUCCCGUUCUCACCGCAAACCAUCAGAGACAAAUCGGAAACCAUUCACGGACUCGACCUCAACAACACAAGGGAAACCCUCAUGGAAGGACUGUGGGUGCGGGACAACCGCAUCAAGAUUCUGGACGCCCGCAUCUUGGGCACAUCUACAACGGCGCUGCUCACCCCACCUACCCAAGCUGGUCUACCAUGGAGGGUGUGAUUACCCAUGCUACCAGUACAGGCGAGCCCGGCAGUUUUGCCGGAUGUGUAUGCAGCCGGGACAUCGCCCGGAUGUGUGUCCAAACCCCAACACGCCGGUUUGCCACCGGUGCGGCACGCUGAACCCACCCCUCACCCACGUUUGUGAGCCGAAAUGCGGACUCUGCGGUGGUCAGCAUGAAACCGGCACUAAAGAAAGCUCCAAGAGACUGAAGCCACCAAGAGCGCUUCAGCUGCCACCCGCCUGCAACAAUGAAGAGAAGAGGUUGUCUUGACGGGACGGCCUCCCCAAGAUCUACAAUAACCGCUGGUUCGACUCCGAGGACGGGGACUCAGCCGACUGCUGCUGCAGCCAAUCCAGGUUCGGAACCAGAGCCCGGCAGCAGCAGCCACACCCACAACAAAUGCGGACACCACCCAUACUGAUGCCGAGAGAGAAGCGGCAACCCGCCCAAGACGCAACCAAGCAGGUGAGCUGGGAAGGCAGGGCAAGGACUCCUCUGCUCCUCCAACAGACACCCGAAUCCCCAAACUACAAGCUAUUAUAACAGCGCAAAAUGCUAGGAUAGCAGAAUAAGAUGCCAAGAUCGCAGCGCUUAUGGCCAAACUAGACAAAGUAAUCAAACAAAACACUGCGCCGCCACCUACCACACCCCCAAAAGCGACCCGAUGAAGUAGUGGCACACCAAACGCUACAGCAAACACUACAUAGAGAAGAGAGUAAGCUCCCUCACUGAAAAUGUCACCCAACUAUUCAGCGUGCUUCAAGCCAAAAUUGAAACCAUAGCGGGCAGCCUCGCGCAAGUAACUGCUGCACAAAAUUCACACUCAAUAUCAAUUGAGGCGCUCCAGACUCAAAGCCACACACGCGUCUCGUCGCGCAAUCAAGGUCCUACCCGCAAUCGCAGCCGUGCCAGUUCCAUUGGGAGCGAUGCCGGCCCGCCAGCCCACUUAGCUGACCAUGGCUCCAAACCAUAAGCCAAACAACGCCGAACACAUAGAAAUAUGGCAGUGGAACUGCAGAGGUUUCAGAUGAAAACAAGGAUCCCCAUAAGACCUAACAUUAUCUGCCUGCAAGAGAUAGGAGCCGAAAGAACCCCAAUGCUAGCCAGCUACUACACAAUCCACCAACCCCACAUGGCGACGGUUGCAGUGAAGUAUGCGAGUUGCCAACUAACUGUGCUGUAAACCUUGACAUGUGCACGUCUGUUUCAAUGACACAGGUGCCAGGACUUGCACGCUGGCAGGAAGUGGUAGAAGGUUUUGCAAAGCGCUGCAGCUUUCCAAACUGCCUUGGAGCCACAGAAGGUAAACACGUACAAAUAAAGGCACUUCCAAACUCUGGUUGCAACUACUACAACUACAAGGUAUGUAUGUAAAUCAUGUGCGAAGGUUAUUACUGCCAGAUGUGACAAUGCUGUUUUCACUUUUUUUUUUUCAGAGAACGUUCUCCAUUGUGUUGAUGGCAGUGACGGACGACACUUAUAAAUUUGUUAUGGUAGAUGUCGGGGCUCCAGGCCGACACAGUGAUGGGGGUGUGUUCAAGGCAACAUCAUUCAGCAAGGACCUUGCGAAAAAUUACUUAACUUGCCAGCCCCAGCACGCCUCCCAAAUAGCAACAAGGUGGCACCUCACAUAUCUGUGGCCGAUGAAGCCUUUCAGCUGAGGCAGGAUUUUAUGCGGCCUUAUCCCGGAAAAGGAAUACAGCCAAGACGAAAAGUAUUCCACUAUGGGCUAAGCAGAGCAAGGCGCAAUGUUGAAAAUGCCUUUAGGAUUCUGGUGGUACGAUGGAGUCCUUCUUGGCCACCUCAACCUACAACCUCAACCUCAACUACAAGGUAUGUAUGUAAAUCAUGCGCGAAGGUUAUUACUGCCAGAUGUGACAAUGCUGUUUUUACUUUUUUUUUCAGAGAACAUUCUCCAUUGUGUUGAUGGCAGUGGCGGACGACACUUAUAAAUUUGUUAUGGUAGAUGUCGGGGCUCCAGGCCGACACAGUGAUGGGGGUGUGUUCAAGGCAACAUCAUUCAGCAAGGACCUUGCGAAAAAUUACUCAACUUGCCAGCCCUGGCAGUGGCGGACGACACUUGUAAAUUUGUUAUGGUAGAUGUCGGGGCUCCAGGCCGACACAGUGAUGGGGGUGUGUUCAAGGCAACAUCAUUCAGCAAGGACCUUGCGAAAAAUUACUUAACUUGCCAGCCCCAGCACGCCUCCCAAAUAGCAACAAGGUGGCACCUCACAUAUUUGUGGCCGAUGAAGCCUUUCAGCUGAGGCAGGAUUUUAUGCGGCCUUAUCCCGGAAAAGGAAUACAGCCAAGACGAAAAGUAUUCAACUAUGGGCUAAGCAGAGCAAGGUAACAUGAAUAUAAUUGCUCUGGCUGCAAUGUAGAGCUUGCUUGAAAUAAAACAGCCAUGCUUGUUAAUGUUUAUAUAGCUGGACAGUCUGUGAAUAGCACAUCAUUAACCUGCUAAAUGUUUUGUUCCAGGCGCAAUGUUGAAAAUGCCUUUAGGAUUCUGGUGGCACGAUGGAGUCCUUCUUGGCCACCUCAACCUCCUGCCAAAGAAUGCAACCCAUGCUGUGCUGGCCUGCUGCGCGCUGCAUAAAUUUUUGUGAUCAAUGAGCAAAUCUACGUAUUCCCCGCCUGGUUACGUGGACAGUGAAGUCCGAUAUGGGAACGUUAACCCAGGCAAGUGGAGGGAAGAGGCUUAGAUAAAUGAGCUGUGUGGCUUGGCAGGAACGUCAUCAAGAAAUCACAUGGUGGAUGCUGCUGAGACGCGCGACCUCUUUCCAGAGUACUUUAUGGUCGAAGGUGCUGUGCCAUAGCAGUGGGCACACACUUACCUUCCAACCCCAUCUAAUA
This is a long non-coding RNA of Dermacentor albipictus, 8356 nucleotides long. RefSeq lists it as uncharacterized. Lineage: Eukaryota; Metazoa; Arthropoda; Arachnida; Ixodida; Ixodidae. The record is from RefSeq and is a predicted model, not a curated record.